GAUCCUGGCUCAGGAUGAACGUUAGUUACAGGCUUAACACAUGCAAGUCGAGGGGCAGCAUGGUCUUAGCUUGCUAAGGCCGAUGGCGACCGGCGCACGGGUGAGUAACACGUAUCCAACCUGCCGUCUACUCUUGGACAGCCUUCUGAAAGGAAGAUUAAUACAAGAUGGCAUCAUGAGUCCGCAUGUUCACAUGAUUAAAGGUAUUCCGGUAGACGAUGGGGAUGCG
This 229-nucleotide ribosomal RNA is filed under the name uncultured bacterium. RNAcentral describes it as "partial 16S ribosomal RNA". It matches the Rfam family "Bacterial small subunit ribosomal RNA", at positions 15 to 235 of the family's 1533-position model. The record is from RNAcentral.